CCCGGUUCUCAGGUGACACACCCCAGAAUUGGGCUCCCUCCUCUCUGGUUCCGGGUGUGUCACUCAAGAACCGCA
Non-coding RNA from Myotis lucifugus (little brown bat), 75 nucleotides. Lineage: Eukaryota; Metazoa; Chordata; Mammalia; Chiroptera; Vespertilionidae. The record is from Rfam.